AGGACGAACGCUGGCGGCGUGCUUAACACAUGCAAGUCACGGGGGCUCGCAAGAGCAACCGGCGAACGGGUGCGUAACACGUGAGCAACCUACCGAUUUCUGGGGGAUAGCCGGCCCAACGGCCGGGUAAUACCGCAUACGUUCUUGGGGGACAUCCUCUGAAGAAGAAACCUCCGGGGGAGAUCGAGGGGCUCGCGGCCUAUCAGCUAGUUGGCGAGGUAACGGCUCACCAAGGCAACGACGGGUAGCUGGU
Molecule: ribosomal RNA, 253 nt
Filed under: uncultured bacterium
Lineage: Bacteria
Description: partial small subunit ribosomal RNA
Rfam family: Bacterial small subunit ribosomal RNA
Source: RNAcentral